UGAGACGCUGGGUUAGAUUCUCAGCACUGCAUAUAAAUAAACAACAUAAAGUUCAUUGACAACUAAAAAUAAUAUUAAAAAAAAGAAACAUAUGGCUAGUCUACAUCUACUUGAAAAUCAAAGAAUUAAGAUAGAGGGAACCAGUGGAUCAAUAAACUAAAAAGUAAGUGAUAUUAAUCUGAAGGUGACAAAUUAGAACUAUUAAUAAAACAAAAUAGAACGUUUUAAACAAAGGAAGAAAGUGAUUGAUAAGUGGAAACAAACAGGGAGAUACAGAAAAUGGAUUUAGGAAACUUAUGUUUAGAGUAAGUAAGAGUCAGAAUAUGGCAAUCAAAGUCACUUGAGCAAAAAAAACUUGACUAACACCUACAAUUUGAUCCAAGAAUAGCACAACAUCAAGAACUGAAAUCUAAGUGCAUGCCUGUAAUCCCAGUGACUUGGGAGGCUGAGGCAGGAAGAUCACAGGUUCACAGAGAGACCCUGUCUCAAAAUAAAAAAUAAAAAAUAAAAAAAGAUCGGGAUAUAGCUCAAUGGUAGUACUCCCCUGGGUUCAAUACCCAUUCCAAAAACAAAAAAGAACAAAACAAAACAAGAACUUAAAAGCAAGGCUGUCAAGCGAUAUAAACAGGAGAUGAUUACCCAAUAUUUGUAAUGUUCAUUCAACAUUUUAAAUUGUCUCAUGCCUAUUAUUCAUUAGAUCCUAAUAUGAUCUCAUGCAGAAGAGAGCAGGCAGAUUUAUCCCAUUUUGCAGAAGAAGAAAUUCAGGUAAGAGCAGCUGCUUUACAGGUCACAGGCACAAAUAGGUCAAGAUAGUGCUACAUCAGUCAAAAGAGAGGGGCUGGAGAGCUUUACAUGGUUCAAAAGAGUUUUACUUUUUUUUUCCCCUCUCAACUUUCUGCUAGAGGAUAAAACUAUGUAAUGAAUCCCCUGGCCUAGUCUCUGACAAAUGCUUUUCUAUCUGUUGCUCAGUUUUUGUUUUACACUGCUUUCAUCCCUCUUUGGUUCAUUCUCUAUCUCUUCUCCAUCUCAAUUAAUGCUGUGGGAAAAAGUACAAAAAAUACAUACAUACUGAACCAGACAUGACAGUAAGCUCUCUAGGGAUGACUGAGGUCUAAGAUCAAGAGGGUAAAACUGCACUAACAUACACAGAUUUUAUAAACACAAUUUUUUUUGCACUUAAAAAACAGAUCCCAAACUUUACAGCAACACUUAAAUGCCAAGCUCAUCUUUCAAAUAGCUUUAAAAACUAUAUGAAACCAUAAACACAUUCAUAUACUACUCUGAUGAUCUGUUCCUUCCUUGCCCCUUAAAGGCUGCCUCUCUUCUCCCUUUUUCUAUAUCAACCGACUGAAAGUUCAUGGGCAGCAAGUGCUGGAGAUAGAGUUCACUGUCUCCUGGCACAAGAGACACAUAUAAAAGAUGGUUAAAGAUAAGGAUGACUAGUAUGUGCUAAUAGAUUGACAGCUGAGUAAAAGCUGGAUUAAAUAAAAACAGAAUAGCUGGAAUAAAAAUUCCUUCUAGCUCUGACCUGGUGAACAUUUUCUAACUGCUAUCUCACCCACCUGCUGGUAGUUGCUCAAACUUGUCCCAGGACCUGGUUUCUGGCUAACAUCUGUAAUGGCUCAAUAAAUUCUUUUAUGUGGGAGAUCCCCUGAUCUCAAGAGUUUUGGUUUAAUACAUGUUACCUCCAAAAUGAAGAUUUCACUCAUCUUUUCUAACUUUUAUAUUUUUGAUUUAGAUCCAUAGUUCCAGGCUAUUCAGAGAAUUUACUGUCUUGGUUUUGUCACCUAAUAUAGGAAAAGAGAACUUGCAAUUUAUUUGGAUGACUACCGAAUGGGGGCUAGCUAAUGUUUGUGUAUGUUCAGGAAAUAAGACCUAUGGAAGCAGGAUCAUGCCAGAAGUUAAGAAGAUUUGUCUCCUGACAAGAACUAGUUCUGUGACUUCAGUACUUUGUGGUACUGCAAUUUCCUCAUAAGUAAAACCCUGUGGAAACAGCCUAAUGCUACCCCUGAAGUCUGAACAACAAUCCUACAAUAAGCAAUAGGCAAGGAAGAAAGAGCACAGAGGAAAAGGAUGCCAAUGAAGAACUGAACAGAAAACAGUGAUGGUUUACUGUGUCCUCAGGAAAGUUACUUAACCUUUUACAAUUUCAGUAAUAAAACAGAAAUUAUAAUCCCUACACCUUGGAAGACUGUUGUGAGGACUGAAGGAAAUUAAAGAAUGUAACAUGAGUAAAAGAUUCAAAACAGUGCUGGGCAAAGAUCUGUCCUCAUGGAAGAAAAUGAGUGACAAAGCCAAAAGGUGGGGGUUUUCAAAAGAUUAUGUAUAAUUUGGCAUAAUUUUUAGGUUCAAUCAUAAAUAAUCAUCUCCAUUUGUAAAGCAAUUUAAAGUUUACAAACCAGUUUGGAUUAAACACACUGAUUCUAUUACUAUUCUAAGUAAACAUUUCUCUCUGCUUAAUGCUGAAUCUGCAUAUACAGAUUCAUGAGUCAAUCGUAGUAGAAAAUAUUCUUAAAAUUCUAAAAUAAGGCAUAACUCUUUCUUCAAAGCUUUAACUUGAUCACUUGUCUCGUCAUUUCCUUCCCAUUAUUUUAAGCAGAAAGAGGUUUGAGAGACUACAUGUGUUCAAUCAUAAAAAUUCUUUGUUUCCCUAAAACGUUUGUUUUCCACGGUAUGAUAUCCAGGGUAGUUAUUAUAAUUUCAGGGCAAUUAUAGCCAUAAGAUUUAAGACCAGUGGUGCCAGUGGGGGAGAAGGUUUGGAGCAAAAUCUCCAAUGUUAACUCUAUACUUUUGCUUUGACAAGGUAAGUGACAUUCAGCACAAACACUGGUUAUCUGUCAAAGCUUUUAUUUUAAUGGGAAAAUACUUGAUUAUAUACUGCAUAUAUUUUGCAAUUCAUUGUGUAUUUCUUAACACAGAGCAAUUCACUGAUAGGCAAGAAUUUAUUAAGUCACUGGUUAAUUUCAUAUUUAAUAAAACUGAUCAAGUUCUGUGGUCAUUAAAAAGGAAAUGAUGUAAAUAAAAUGCAUUUAUUUUGAA
Molecule: non-coding RNA, 3039 nt
Organism: Ictidomys tridecemlineatus (thirteen-lined ground squirrel)
Lineage: Eukaryota; Metazoa; Chordata; Mammalia; Rodentia; Sciuridae
Source: RefSeq, a predicted model, not a curated record